CACAUUUUAUUAUACUUAUUCACAUUUACCAUCAUAGGCGCGACAACAGCUGAGGGAAAUGGAAUAGAGGUUAACAAAUAGGAUUCCUUUAUCUUUAGACUGAGAGGAUAUCCAUUAUGCCUGGCGAUGUGUGGAGGAACAGUGCCGAAGAAAAUCUCUCAAGUGAAAUAAGUGUAGUUAGUUCUAAGCCGCGGACACUCUCGAGGGCUACUCUAAGUCUAUAUACACCAAGUCAAGUCAUGCGCAGGUUUGUGGGAGGAGACACGGCCGAGGCGUGGUUUAUGCGUGACGUUGCUUGGAGCCAAACUAGAGAAUGUAGAAACAGGAAUUUAGAGAAAACGAGGAAAGGCGGACUAAUUUAAAUCAAUCACUUCAACAUGCCCUCCCUCACACCCCACACCGCCGUUUGUAGUCAUUGAAAUUACAGUCACGCAAUAGCAAAAUAAAAAGA
Molecule: long non-coding RNA, 451 nt
Organism: Eriocheir sinensis (Chinese mitten crab)
Lineage: Eukaryota; Metazoa; Arthropoda; Malacostraca; Decapoda; Varunidae
Exons: 2
Source: RefSeq, a predicted model, not a curated record